GACCUGGCCGGGUGGUCUUGCCGAAAGGUAAGCACUGCUUUUGGUCGGGUCUUUCCUUCUGGGGAACCAGCGUGCGCUUGAUUGAGUGCGUUGGGGAUCCAGGACUUUUACUUUGAAAAAAUUAGAGUGCUUAAAGCAGGCUAGUGCUUGAAUAGAUUAGCAUGGAAUAAUAAAAUAGGA
RNAcentral lists this ribosomal RNA (180 nucleotides) under uncultured Glomeromycotina. Its description in RNAcentral is "partial small subunit ribosomal RNA". The stretch from base 91 to 180 matches the Rfam family "Eukaryotic small subunit ribosomal RNA", at positions 735 to 827 of the family's 1831-position model. The record is from RNAcentral. Lineage: Eukaryota; Fungi; Glomeromycota.